GGCGAUCGCACUGUUUAUUUUUUUAUACGAAUGGAAUCAAUAAUAUUGGUGUAAUAUUGAGGAAGUGGUUACAAUGGUAUUUAUCCCAUUAUGUGCGAGUAGGAGAUGUUGGCAUUCAGUUAAAUCGAAUCAGGUACGGCCAUGAUCGGACUUGAUUCAACGGUUAUUAUAUUGUCUAAUUGGAUUAGACUUAAUCUCACUUUUAAAUUGAAAAGCUA
RNAcentral lists this long non-coding RNA (218 nucleotides) under Ananas comosus (pineapple). RNAcentral's name for it is "long non-coding RNA (ACOM_LNC029266)". The record is from RNAcentral. Lineage: Eukaryota; Viridiplantae; Streptophyta; Magnoliopsida; Poales; Bromeliaceae.